Molecule: long non-coding RNA, 1756 nt
Organism: Xiphophorus couchianus (Monterrey platyfish)
Lineage: Eukaryota; Metazoa; Chordata; Actinopteri; Cyprinodontiformes; Poeciliidae
Exons: 4
Source: RefSeq, a predicted model, not a curated record
AACCGGUCCGAACCGUCCUGAACAUCAGCUUCAUCGUAUUCUGCUGCUGCUCCUGUCAGCGUCAGGUUGGGUCACUGUGACGACGCUGCAGAGCUCCGUCAGAGACGGACCGCUGCAUCCUCGGUGCAUCACGGCGCGUCAUCACAGAUCCUUCCUGCCAGCAGCCAUUAGGCUCUGGACCCGUCAGCAGAAUCAAGUCUUUACAUCCCAGCUGGAUUCCAGAAUUGAAACUUCUGAUUGGAUCAGAACCAAAUCCACUGAUUCUGUCCAUCAGGAUGGCAGAAUCAUUUCUAACUCUGUAGAACCUCAGAGAGGCUGACCGGAACCAGUGUGGUUCUGGAUCCGGUUUGGUUUUUACAUGUUUACCUGUAAUGAACAUGGCGCCAGGUACUUUUCCACCUCAGAGUGACAGGAUGAAACCGGCAGCGCUAACGCCUCGCCGACAUGCCGCUGCACGCUGCUGGAACACGGAACCGCAGGGUUUGGUUCUGGAAGGAGGAGAAGCUUCGAUCCGCUUCACUCCCACUGCAGCUCAGACCAGGAUUCCUAACAGAACCCGCCUCAGGUGGACCUUCACGUUUAGCGGUUAGCUAAAACAGUUUCUGUUAUCUGAAAUAAUCAGACCAUUCAGUUCCUGCAGAACCCGGCCUGCCGGCCCGCUCCCCGUCCAUCUGCUGGAGGAAUUUCACUGAAACGUUUUCAUAGUUUAGAUGUUUUAAUCUCUGGGAGUUUAGAUGUUUUAAUCUCUGCGAGUUCCUGGAUGUGGAUUCCUGUCGGGUCUGCAGAGAAACUUCCAGGAAAAAUCUGUCUGACCUCUGAAUCGGGCCGAGACGUUACAUCAGCAGAUGUUUGGAUAAGAAAGGACCAGCGCACGUUUUUAUCAAAUCAGGCUGCAAAAGAAGGUCUUGUCUUCCUGAUAAAGGUCAAAGGUCAGAUUAAUGUCGCUGCAUAGAGCUGAACAGACAGUAAAUAUAGAAAAAAUCAACAUUAAUAUGCAAACAUCGACACACUAACGUUUAUUUUAACAAGUUGGUGUAAAUAUUAACUUCCAGUAUCGACAUCCAGAUGAAACGAUGAAACCUGAAAACCUCCUGAUCCAGAUUUACAGUAGAAACAGAGAGAAGUCAGAACCCGUCCAACAAGAACCAGCUUCUGCUUCUGCUCAGGUUGACCUUUCACCUCCGUCCCAUUUCUGUGUAAACAGCAGGAAGUUGAUCUUUAGAUAAACUGCUGCUGAUCAGACCAGGAUCAACAGACCCAAACAGAACCUGACCCUGACAGAACCGCCCCCCCAUGAUGCCUUUCACUGCCUGACCUUCUGCUGUGAUGACAUCAGCAUCUCUGAACCCGCUGAGGCUCCGCUUCCGGUCCGAACAGUUUGAGCUCCGGUGGGACAUUUGGAGCCGAUGUGUUAAACUGAGUCCAGUAAACGUCAGAACUCGGACAGAAUCGUGUUCAGUGUUUCCAGAAAAAUCCACAGAGAACAACGGUUCCCUUAAAGCUGCGGUGUCCAGUCAGUCAUGCAGGGCCCGGAUCCUGCAUGCUUCGGUUCUGGUUCAACACAACUGGAUCAACUGAUGACUCGUUAGCAGAACCUCAGCAGAACUUUGACCUGCUGAGGAAACAGUGGAAACAGUUUGAAUCAGCUCAGCUGGAGCAGAGACUCACGUAGAACAUGCAGGAACCGGGUCCAUAUGGACUGACUGACUGUAGACUGACUGACUGACUGUAGACUGACUGACUGACUGACUGACUG